AAAUUGAAGAGUUUGAUCAUGGCUCAGAUUGAACGCUGGCGGCAGGCCUAACACAUGCAAGUCGAACGGUAACAGGAAGCAGCUUGCUGUUUUGCUGACGAGUGGCGGACGGGUGAGUAAUGUCUGGGAAACUGCCUGAUGGAGGGGGAUAACUACUGGAAACGGUAGCUAAUACCGCAUAACGUCGCAAGACCAAAGAGGGGGACCUUAGGGCCUCUUGCCAUCGGAUGUGCCCAGAUGGGAUUAGCUAGUAGGUGGGGUAACGGCUCACCUAGGCGACGAUCCCUAGCUGGUCUGAGAGGAUGACCAGCCACACUGGAACUGAGACACGGUCCAGACUCCUACGGGAGGCAGCAGUGGGGAAUAUUGCACAAUGGGCGCAAGCCUGAUGCAGCCAUGCCGCGUGUAUGAAGAAGGCCUUCGGGUUGUAAAGUACUUUCAGCGGGGAGGAAGGGAGUAAAGUUAAUACCUUUGCUCAUUGACGUUACCCGCAGAAGAAGCACCGGCUAACUCCGUGCCAGCAGCCGCGGUAAUACGGAGGGUGCAAGCGUUAAUCGGAAUUACUGGGCGUAAAGCGCACGCAGGCGGUUUGUUAAGUCAGAUGUGAAAUCCCCGGGCUCAACCUGGGAACUGCAUCUGAUACUGGCAAGCUUGAGUCUCGUAGAGGGGGGUAGAAUUCCAGGUGUAGCGGUGAAAUGCGUAGAGAUCUGGAGGAAUACCGGUGGCGAAGGCGGCCCCCUGGACGAAGACUGACGCUCAGGUGCGAAAGCGUGGGGAGCAAACAGGAUUAGAUACCCUGGUAGUCCACGCCGUAAACGAUGUCGACUUGGAGGUUGUGCCCUUGAGGCGUGGCUUCCGGAGCUAACGCGUUAAGUCGACCGCCUGGGGAGUACGGCCGCAAGGUUAAAACUCAAAUGAAUUGACGGGGGCCCGCACAAGCGGUGGAGCAUGUGGUUUAAUUCGAUGCAACGCGAAGAACCUUACCUGGUCUUGACAUCCACGGAAGUUUUCAGAGAUGAGAAUGUGCCUUCGGGAACCGUGAGACAGGUGCUGCAUGGCUGUCGUCAGCUCGUGUUGUGAAAUGUUGGGUUAAGUCCCGCAACGAGCGCAACCCUUAUCCUUUGUUGCCAGCGGUCCGGCCGGGAACUCAAAGGAGACUGCCAGUGAUAAACUGGAGGAAGGUGGGGAUGACGUCAAGUCAUCAUGGCCCUUACGACCAGGGCUACACACGUGCUACAAUGGCGCAUACAAAGAGAAGCGACCUCGCGAGAGCAAGCGGACCUCAUAAAGUGCGUCGUAGUCCGGAUUGGAGUCUGCAACUCGACUCCAUGAAGUCGGAAUCGCUAGUAAUCGUGGAUCAGAAUGCCACGGUGAAUACGUUCCCGGGCCUUGUACACACCGCCCGUCACACCAUGGGAGUGGGUUGCAAAAGAAGUAGGUAGCUUAACCUUCGGGAGGGCGCUUACCACUUUGUGAUUCAUGACUGGGGUGAAGUCGUAACAAGGUAACCGUAGGGGAACCUGCGGUUGGA
RNAcentral lists this ribosomal RNA (1531 nucleotides) under Escherichia coli. RNAcentral describes it as "bacterial SSU rRNA". It matches the Rfam family "Bacterial small subunit ribosomal RNA". The record is from RNAcentral. Lineage: Bacteria; Pseudomonadati; Pseudomonadota; Gammaproteobacteria; Enterobacterales; Enterobacteriaceae.